UAUUUGUGACUGAGUGGCGGACGGGUGAGUAACGCGUGGGUAACCUACCUGGUACAGGGGGAUAACAGUUGGAAACGACUGCUAAUACCGCAUAAGCGCACAGCAUCGCAUGAUGCAGUGUGAAAAGCUCCGACGGUAUAAGAUGGACCCGCGUCUGAUUAGCUAGUUGGUGAGGUAACGGCCCACCAAGGCGACGAUCAGUAGCCGACCUGAGAGGGUGACCGGCCACAUUGGGACUGAGACACGGCCCAAACUCCUACGGGAGGCAGCAGUGGGGAAUAUUGCACAAUGGGCGAAAGCCUGAUGCAAGCGACGCCGCGUGAGCGAAGAAGUAUUUCGGUUAUGUAAAGCCCUAUCAGUCAGGGAAGAAAAAUGACGGUACCUGACUUAAGAAGCACCGGCUAAAUACGUGCCAGCAGCUGC
Molecule: ribosomal RNA, 423 nt
Filed under: uncultured bacterium
Lineage: Bacteria
Description: bacterial SSU rRNA
Rfam family: Bacterial small subunit ribosomal RNA
Source: RNAcentral